RNAcentral lists this ribosomal RNA (430 nucleotides) under uncultured bacterium. RNAcentral describes it as "bacterial SSU rRNA". It matches the Rfam family "Bacterial small subunit ribosomal RNA", at positions 29 to 461 of the family's 1533-position model. The record is from RNAcentral.
AUUGAACGCUGGCGGUAGGCCUAACACAUGCAAGUCGAACGCGAAAGUCCUUCGGGCGAGUAGAGUGGCGGACGGGUGAGUAACGCGUGGGAAUCUACCCUAGAGCGGGGGACGAACCCGGGGAAACCCGGGCUAAUACCGCAUACGUCCUACGGGAGAAAGAGGGCCUCUGCUUGCACGCUCUCACUCCAGGAUGAGCCCACGUCCGAUUAGCUAGUUGGUAGGGUAAAGGCCUACCAAGGCCACGAUCGGUAGCUGGUCUGAGAGGAUGAUCAGCCACACUGGGACUGAGACACGGCCCAGACUCCUACGGGAGGCAGCAGUGGGGAAUAUUGGACAAUGGGCGCAAGCCUGAUCCAGCAAUGCCGCGUGUGUGAAGAAGGCCUGCGGGUUGUAAAGCACUUUCAGUGGGGAAGAACAGAUUCGGGUC